Molecule: long non-coding RNA, 914 nt
Filed under: Olea europaea (common olive)
Lineage: Eukaryota; Viridiplantae; Streptophyta; Magnoliopsida; Lamiales; Oleaceae
Description: long non-coding RNA (OEUR_LNC000344)
Source: RNAcentral
AAAUCACAAAUAUUAUAAAUCAAAACUUAUUAUAAGUCACAAAUUAUCAAAUUUUUGUUCACAGAUUAACAAUUUCUUAGAUCACAAUUUAUAUCUUUUAUUGGUCACAGUCAAUCAAAUAAUUUGUGACCACCUUCUCACUAUUGCCUCCAGUAGCACCACCACCACUAGCUCCCACAGUUGGCCACGAACCCUCAAAUAAUUGGUCACAAACACUUUCAUACUACAUCGCCACCACAAUAGCAAUUCGUAACCACCACACCGCCACCGUUAACACUACCACCACCAUUGCCAUCGUAGCGCCGCACCACAACUACCAAAUACUAUCAUGACGCCGCACCAUUGCCUCCAACACUAUCUCUUGCACCACCGUAACCAUCACAACCACCAACUACAUCAACAUCGCCCUCUACUCAACCGCCACCAUUUGCAAAAACACCAACCACCACUAGAAAACUUAAACUAAACAGAUUGAAUGAAAAAAAAAAAUCAAAAGCUGCAACACCAUCGAGGGUGGUACCACCACUGCGACAGCACCUCGACUGCACCACUUGGUCGAUUUCAAUAGAGCCUCCACCAAUCCAUCUAAAAUCAAAACCACCACCACCACAUUCACCCUAGAUCCACACCAAAUCGUCGAUUGUAGCCAUCGUAUCAUCUUCUCUACAGUCGUGAAUCAAUUUCUUCGAGUCGCUGUCGCCACCAGACCACCACCUGCUACGGUUCAUGGUGAUGCAGUGUCGGCUGAAUCGAGGUACCGUCACACGCUAUGACACAUUGUCACGAACCACUGGAACAUUAGAUAGAAGGUAUGUAGGUAUUGAGAGAAGGGGGAAGAGGGGAGAAGAAAAGAUAGAAGAUGAAAGAGACGAAGACCGCCGGAGAUGAGAUAUAGAGAGAGAAAAUGAAAUGGG